Long non-coding RNA from Esox lucius (northern pike), 2874 nucleotides. Lineage: Eukaryota; Metazoa; Chordata; Actinopteri; Esociformes; Esocidae. The record is from Ensembl.
AUAAACGUUAUACACACAUUUCAGGAAAAACGUGUCCUAGCUACAUAUAGACUCCAAUCUACCAGGAUCCAGUCCAGAUAUUCCAUGAAACUGGGAUAUACGCACACGAGAAAUUGUCAACCGAAGGAAAGUGUGGCUGUUAAUUAAUUCCAUGUACGCUAAGAAUGUACUUGUGUCCUUCAGAAGAACGCGAGGACAGAGAACACACCUACCUAGACUGAGAUGCGUGUGUACUCGGCUAUUGCACAAUACUGUAUGCUCAGCUGGGCGCAGAGAAUUUGGGCAGCCACAUGAAAACACUGGCAUGGACCUUAUUCACAGCGCCUCCAUCUUGAAAUCCAAAACGAGGCUGGGGGGUACACUCUAACCGCAAGUUCAUUGACAGAGCGCAGCAGCGGGCGUCUAUCAUCAUGGCGAUACCUUUGUGGACAUCAAAUCUUUCAUGUCUUCCCAACAUAACAGUGGACUAUGUCGAAAAAUGGGCUAAUAAGGACUGCAUGAUUCCCCGGGCUGUUUUGCUUAAAGGAUACAGCAACUGGAUUGAGGGAUAUGUGCACGACGUGGAAGGGGCGACAAUGGCGGCCCCGACGGUGGCCGCCUGCAUCCAAGCUACAAUGACGGUCCUCACCAGACUGGCAGAGAAAGGGUUCAAGGUAUCAAAAGAAAAGCUACAGCUGGUAAGGACGCAGGUCUCCUUUCUGGGCAGAGUAAUCUUGCAGAAAGGAGCGGGGCUUUCCUCAGCUCACCGCACAACCAUCCUCCACCAUCCUAAACCCACUACUGUUCAGGAAAUGCUAUCAUUCCUGGGGCUCCCCAAACUAUUCAGGGCUCACAGAGCCACUUAGAGCGCUAGUUAAGGAGCAGGGAAUGCGUAAACUUAAAGCCACUCUCAAUUGGACUUGCCCGGCCGACCAGGCCUUCAUUUUGCUGAAACAACAACUAGCCACCGCAGCUGAUCUGGCCAUACCAGACUACACAACACCUUUUUUCUAGAUUUUUCUGAAACAGGAUGAGUCAUGAACGGGGUCCUGUUUCAGAAAAAAAGGGGGAGAAGGCUCUGAGAGAGACGAGCUAGUGAGACAUCAAAAGGGGGCUUCCCUACAAGAGAAAACAAUUUGGCAACAGAGAGGAGCAACAGAGACGAGCGGGCUCUGGAGAGGGCCAGACGGUAGAGUAAUACUUCCACCAGCCAUGCGGGGAGAUAAAUUUGCAGAAGCCCACGGGUUGGGCCAUGUAGGGCCAGCACAGAUGUUGAGGAACCAAUUAUGGUAGACAUGGUACGUAACUACACUAGGACAUGCACCAUCUGCACUCACCACAAUCCAAAACCGACGAUCAAACCUGAGAUGGGGGCGUUCCCCAUGACGACGAGACCUGGACAAGAGAUAGUGAUAGACUACACGGACAUGGUAGACUAAACAGUACGGGGGUGCCGCUACAUGUUAGUGUGUGUGGACAUGUUCACAGGGUGGCCAGAAGCCUGGCCAGCACGAAGGGAGGACAGUCAGACAGUGAUCAAGUGUUUAGUGAACCAGUACAUUCCCAGACACGGCUUCCCAGAGAAAAUUAGGUCAGACAAUGGGACUCACUUUAAGAACAGUGAUUUACAGAAGGUAGAGAGCUUAUUGGGCCUAAAACAUGCUUUUGGCACUGUGUACCAUCCACAGUCCCAGGGAAAGGUAGAAAGUGGUCGGACCCAAGGUGGACGGGUCCUCAUCAGGUGGUGGAGAGAACGAGUCAUGCGGUCCGCAUGAGGGACAAAGGAGAGACCUGGUACCAUUGGAGCCAGUGUACACCAGCGCAGGAGCCAGGGAGGUCGCUAACGGACCUCAUCAAAACCGGGAAGGAGGAGCUUUCCCCAGUGUGGACUGAAGGAGGACCAGCACCAGCCGGACCGGUGCCAGGAGCGGACCCCAGGACACGGCGGGACCACGAGCGAGUGAAGGAGACAGAGGACGGCUUCAGGGGACUAGACUCUUAGGGGAAGGAACUGAAGAAUACAAUAACAAAAGGGGGUAUAGGACACCGAGUGGCUACCACUCGUACCAAGAUGAUAGGGUUACAGAGAAAGGUCUGGGGAGAUGAUAGUAGAAUGAAAUGGUAUAUGGGAAUUGGUGGAAUAAUGAUGUGUGUUGUGUGUUGUUACAGGUUUCCCAGGUUGGCAUUGGGUCUUCAUUCCCCCAGCGAAGAGGUUUGCGACCCCACCUGAGGACACCUGUUUGAGGAAAUUUGGGGGAUUGAAUUGGACUAUGUCAAGGGGUCGCAUACGAGCAUUCUGGGAUAGAUAAUCCGCUGGAGGAAUGGAUGACCUCGAUGUUCGGCCAGUGGAAAGAGGGCUUGCCAUGAGAGUGAUCUCUACAGCCAUUGAGGAGGCUCCAGGACCGCCACCAGGGAUGCUGAUGCCUCUACUGGAGCAGCAUGACCCGGGAGAACUGGAGCUUGGCGAAUAGGGGUGAUCUCUCUGGGGAGAGAUCAAAAGGGGGAAUUGUAGAUGUAUUGAUUGUAUUAGUUAGUGAACUGUUAUAAGCUGUUGUAACCAAUGAAGCAGAAUAUUAAUUGUUUGUAAUAUGAGCUGAAACUGAAGGAGCAAGUAGGAGAAUAGGAAACCCUGUUCAAGCGGUUGCCGGGGAGAGAAAGAUUUAGUAUGUCUGUUUUGUGAGAAACAGGACACAGGUUAGAGACACACACACAUAGUCGGACAGACAACACAGACACCACAAGGGGGGCAAGGGGGGUACUUGCAGUUAUCCUAUAAGGAAUAGAACUGGGAUUGGGCCAAGGACACACUUGCUUUGUAAGUUAACGCCUCUAUCUUUUUGGGCGUAGUAGAAGUAUAAAAUGAUGUUUUGACUGUUGAUCCUUAGACAUUGUGCG